GAGCCUGAGAAACGGCUACCACAUCCAAGGAUGGCAGCAGGCGCGCAAAUUACCCAAUCCCGACACGGGGAGGUAGUGACAAUAAAUAACAAUACGGGGUUCUUUNNGAUCUCGUAAUUGGAAUGAGUACAAUUUAAAUCUCUUAACGAGGAACAAUUGGAGGGCAAGUCUGGUGCCAGCAGCCGCGGUAAUUCCAGCUCCAAUAGCGUAUAUUAAAGUUGUUGCAGUUAAAAAGCUCGUAGUUGAAUUUCGGGGUUAGUAGGUUGGUCAUGCCUCUGGUAUGUACUGGUCUCACUGAUUCCUCCUUCCUUAUGAACCGUAAUGCCAUUAAUUUGGUGUUGCGGGGAAUUUGGACUGUUACUUUGAAAAAAUUAGAGUGUUUAAAGCAAGCUAACGCUUGAAUACAUUAGCAUGGAAUAAUGAAAUAGGACGUUCGAUCUUAUUUUGUUGGUUUCUAGGAUUGACGUAAUGAUUAAUAGGGAUAGUUGGGGGCAUUAGUAUUCAAUUGUCAGAGGUGAAAUUCUUGGAUUUAUUGAAGACUAACUACUGCGAAAGCAUUUGCCAAGGAUGUUUUCAUUAAUCAAGAACGAAAGUUAGGGGAUCGAAGACGAUCAGAUACCGUCGUAGUCUUAACCAUAAACUAUGCCGACUAGGGAUCGGAUGAUGUUAAUUUUUUAAUGACUCAUUCGGCGCCUUACGGGAAACCAAA
This 709-nucleotide ribosomal RNA is filed under the name uncultured fungus. Its description in RNAcentral is "SSU rRNA". It matches the Rfam family "Eukaryotic small subunit ribosomal RNA", at positions 392 to 1102 of the family's 1831-position model. Lineage: Eukaryota; Fungi. The record is from RNAcentral.